RNAcentral lists this ribosomal RNA (119 nucleotides) under Pinus taiwanensis. Lineage: Eukaryota; Viridiplantae; Streptophyta; Pinopsida; Pinales; Pinaceae. The record is from RNAcentral.
GGGUUCGAUCAUACCAGCGUUAAUGCACGGGAUCCCAUCAGAACUCCGCAGCUAAGCGCGCUUGGGCUAGAGUAGUACUGGGAUGGGUGACCUCCAGGAAGUCCUAGUGUUGCACCCUC